This 73-nucleotide transfer RNA is filed under the name Ailuropoda melanoleuca (giant panda). It matches the Rfam family "tRNA". From Rfam's summary of the family: Transfer RNA (tRNA) molecules are approximately 80 nucleotides in length. Their secondary structure includes four short double-helical elements and three loops (D, anti-codon, and T loops). The record is from Rfam by way of RNAcentral. Lineage: Eukaryota; Metazoa; Chordata; Mammalia; Carnivora; Ursidae.
ACUGGGCUGGCUCAGCCGGAGGAGCACAAGACUCUUGAUCUUGGGGUCAUGAGUUCAAGCCCCAUGUGGGGUG